GAAGGAUGAGAAGCUUCGACUAAGGUUCGAUUCGAGCGCAGCGAGAAAGCGUUGCCGUAGGCAACGACCCGAAGGGCGAAGCGCGCAGCGCUGAGUAAUCCUUCCCCCACCACCA
This 115-nucleotide small RNA is filed under the name Salmonella enterica subsp. enterica serovar Give. RNAcentral's name for it is "partial RtT sRNA". It matches the Rfam family "RtT RNA", at positions 17 to 130 of the family's 130-position model. Rfam says of the family: This family represents a bacterial cis-regulatory element known as RtT RNA. The exact function of RtT is unknown although it is thought that it may be involved in changing the cellular response in relation to amino acid starvation. The record is from RNAcentral. Lineage: Bacteria; Pseudomonadati; Pseudomonadota; Gammaproteobacteria; Enterobacterales; Enterobacteriaceae.